This 642-nucleotide ribosomal RNA is filed under the name Salinivibrio sp. KP-1. RNAcentral describes it as "bacterial SSU rRNA". It matches the Rfam family "Bacterial small subunit ribosomal RNA", at positions 893 to 1533 of the family's 1533-position model. The record is from RNAcentral. Lineage: Bacteria; Pseudomonadati; Pseudomonadota; Gammaproteobacteria; Vibrionales; Vibrionaceae.
GUUAAAACUCAAAUGAAUUGACGGGGGCCCGCACAAGCGGUGGAGCAUGUGGUUUAAUUCGAUGCAACGCGAAGAACCUUACCUACUCUUGACAUCCAGCGAAUCCUUUAGAGAUAGAGGAGUGCCUUCGGGAGCGCUGAGACAGGUGCUGCAUGGCUGUCGUCAGCUCGUGUUGUGAAAUGUUGGGUUAAGUCCCGCAACGAGCGCAACCCUUAUCCUUGUUUGCCAGCACAUAAUGGUGGGAACUCCAGGGAGACUGCCGGUGAUAAACCGGAGGAAGGUGGGGACGACGUCAAGUCAUCAUGGCCCUUACGAGUAGGGCUACACACGUGCUACAAUGGCAGAUACAGAGGGCAGCGAAGCUGCGAAGUGGAGCGAAUCCCUUAAAGUUUGUCGUAGUCCGGAUUGGAGUCUGCAACUCGACUCCAUGAAGUCGGAAUCGCUAGUAAUCGUGGAUCAGAAUGCCACGGUGAAUACGUUCCCGGGCCUUGUACACACCGCCCGUCACACCAUGGGAGUGGGCUGCACCAGAAGUAGAUAGCUUAACCUUCGGGAGGGCGUUUACCACGGUGUGGUUCAUGACUGGGGUGAAGUCGUAACAAGGUAGCCCUAGGGGAACCUGGGGCUGGAUCACCUCCUUAC